UCCCUGGUGGUCCAACGGCUAAGACUCCUUGUUUCCAACACAGGAGGGCCAGGUUCGACUCCUGGUCAGAGAC
This 73-nucleotide transfer RNA is filed under the name Bos taurus (domestic cattle). It matches the Rfam family "tRNA". Rfam says of the family: Transfer RNA (tRNA) molecules are approximately 80 nucleotides in length. RNAcentral also lists the same sequence under 1 other name. Lineage: Eukaryota; Metazoa; Chordata; Mammalia; Artiodactyla; Bovidae. The record is from Rfam by way of RNAcentral.